This 253-nucleotide ribosomal RNA is filed under the name uncultured bacterium. RNAcentral's name for it is "partial 16S ribosomal RNA". It matches the Rfam family "Bacterial small subunit ribosomal RNA", at positions 524 to 776 of the family's 1533-position model. The record is from RNAcentral.
UACAGAGGGGGCAAGCGUUGUUCGGAAUUACUGGGCGUAAAGGGCGCGUAGGUGGCCUUCUAAGUUGAACGUGAAAUCCCUGGGCUCAACCCAGGAACUGCGUCCAAGACUGGGAGGCUUGAAUCCGGGAGAGGGAUGCGGAAUUCCGGGUGUAGCGGUGAAAUGCGUAGAUAUCUGGAGGAACACCGGUGGCGAAGGCGGCGUCCUGGACCAACACUGACACUGAUGAGCGAAAGCCAGGGGAGCAAACGGG